RNAcentral lists this ribosomal RNA (403 nucleotides) under bacterium. RNAcentral's name for it is "partial 16S ribosomal RNA". It matches the Rfam family "Bacterial small subunit ribosomal RNA", at positions 355 to 776 of the family's 1533-position model. The record is from RNAcentral.
UGGGGAAUAUUGCACAAUGGAGGGAACUCUGAUGCAGCGACGCCGCGUGAACGAAGAAGGCUUUCGAGUCGUAAAGUUCUUUUAUAUGGGAAGAUAAUGACGGUACCAUAAGAAAAAGCCCCGGCUAACUACGUGCCAGCAGCCGCGGUAAUACGUAGGGGGCUAGCGUUGUCCGGAAUCACUGGGCGUAAAGGGUUCGCAGGCGGAAAUGCAAGUCAGGUGUAAAAGGCAGUAGCUUAACUACUGUAAGCAUUUGAAACUGCAUAUCUUGAGAAGAGUAGAGGUAAGUGGAAUUUUUAGUAUAGCGGUGAAAUGAGUAGAUAUUAAAAAGAAUACCGGUGGCGAAGGCGGCUUACUGGGCUCAUUCUGACGCUGGGGAACGAAAGCGUGGGUAGCAAACAGG